ACGGGAGGCAGCAGUGGGGAAUAUUGGGCAAUGGGCGAAAGCCUGACCCAGCAAUGCCGCGUGAAGGAUGAAGGUCUUCGGAUUGUAAACUUCUUUGAUUAGGGAAGAAUAAAUGACAGUACCUAAAGAACAAGCCACGGCUAACUACGUGCCAGCAGCCGCGGUAAUACGUAGGUGGCAAGCGUUAUCCGGAUUUACUGGGUGUAAAGGGCGUGUAGGCGGCUUUGCAAGUCAGAUGUGAAAUUCCUGAGCUCAACUCGGGCGCUGCAUCUGAAACUGCAAAACUUGAGUGUCGGAGAGGAAAGCGGAAUUCCUAGUGUAGCGGUAAAAUGCGCAGAUAUUAGGAAGAACACCGGUGGCGAAGGCGGCUUUCUGGACGAUAACUGACGCUGAGGCGCGAAAGCGUGGGGAGCAAACAGGAUUAGAUACCCUGGUA
This 436-nucleotide ribosomal RNA is filed under the name uncultured Saccharofermentans sp. Its description in RNAcentral is "partial 16S ribosomal RNA". It matches the Rfam family "Bacterial small subunit ribosomal RNA", at positions 341 to 792 of the family's 1533-position model. The record is from RNAcentral. Lineage: Bacteria; Bacillati; Bacillota; Clostridia; Eubacteriales; Oscillospiraceae.